Molecule: ribosomal RNA, 506 nt
Filed under: uncultured bacterium
Lineage: Bacteria
Description: bacterial SSU rRNA
Rfam family: Bacterial small subunit ribosomal RNA
Source: RNAcentral
UCAGGAUGAACGCUAGCUACAGGCUUAACACAUGCAAGUCGAGGGGCAGCAUCAGGUUAGCUUGCUAACCUGGAUGGCGACCGGCGCACGGGUGAGUAACGCGUAUCCAACCUUCCCCCUGCGUCAGGGAGUAGCCCGGUGAAAACCGGAUUAAGACCUGAUAGUUUCACUAGAUGGCAUCUGACGGUGAAUAAAGGUUUCGGCAAGGGAUGGGGAUGCGUCUGAUUAGCUUGUUGGCGGGGUAACGGCCCACCAAGGCGACGAUCAGUAGGGGUUCUGAGAGGAAGGUCCCCCACAUUGGAACUGAGACACGGUCCAAACUCCUACGGGAGGCAGCAGUGAGGAAUAUUGGUCAAUGGGCGGAAGCCUGAACCAGCCAAGUAGCGUGCAAGGAUGACGGCCCUAUGGGUUGUAAACUGCUUUUGUGCGGGAAUAAAGUCAGGGACGCGUCCCUGUUUGCAUGUACCGCAAGAAUAAGGACCGGCUAAUUCCGUGCCAGCAGCAGC